This 267-nucleotide ribosomal RNA is filed under the name uncultured archaeon. Its description in RNAcentral is "partial 16S ribosomal RNA". It matches the Rfam family "Archaeal small subunit ribosomal RNA", at positions 718 to 982 of the family's 1478-position model. The record is from RNAcentral.
AGUCACUGACAUUAGAUACCCCCUGUAGUCCAGGGUGUAAACGCUGCAGACUUGGUGUUGGAAGUCCUUUGGGGGGCAUUCAGUGCCGGAGAGAAGUUGUUAAGUCUGCUACUUGGGGAGUACGUCCGCAAGGAUGAAACUUAAAGGAAUUGGCGGGGGAGCACCGCAACGGGAGGAGCGUGCGGUUUAAUUGGAUUCAACACCGUAAAACUCACCAGGGAAGACUGUUACAUGAAAGCCGAGAUGAAGACUCUGCUAGAUUUUCAG